RNAcentral lists this ribosomal RNA (2303 nucleotides) under metagenome. RNAcentral describes it as "bacterial LSU rRNA". It matches the Rfam family "Bacterial large subunit ribosomal RNA", at positions 14 to 2350 of the family's 2925-position model. The record is from RNAcentral.
AGAGCGCAGGGUGGAUGCCUUGGCACUAAGAGCCGAAGAAAGACGUGAUAAGCUGCGAAAAGCUGCGGGGAGGAGCAAAUAUCCAUUGAGCCGCAGAUAUCUGAAUGGGGAAACCCGGCUGGACGAACUCCAGUCAUCCAUACGCCAAUCCAUAACGUAUGGAAGGGAACCCGGUGAACUGAAACAUCUAAGUAGCCGGAGGAAGAGAAAGAAACAUCGAUUUUGUUAGUAGCGGCGAGCGAAAGCGAAAGAGGCCAAACCGGAGUGCGUGCACUCCGGGGUUCGGACCGCAUUUAAGAUUCAGUGAUUCUAGCAGAAAGGUUUGGGAAAGCCUGCCGGAGAGGGUGAAAGCCCCGUAAGCGAAAGGAAAACUGACUGAGCGGAAUCCAGAGUACAUCGAGACACGAGAAACCUUGAUGGAAUGAGCGGGGACCACCCCGUAAGCCUAAAUACUACUUAGUGACCGAUAGCGCAUAGUACUGUGAAGGAAAGGUGAAAAGGACCCCGGGAGGGGAGUGAAAGAGAACCUGAAACCCUGUGUUUACAAGCUGUGGAAGUUCUUUAAAUGAACAACCGCGUACUUUUUGUAGAACGGUCCGGCGAGUUGCGGAUACUGGCAAGGUUAAGCACUUAAGGUGCGGAGCCGAAGGGAUACCAAGUCUUAACAGGGCGUUAAGUCAGUAUACGCAGACCCGAAACCGGGUGAUCUAUCCAUGUCCAGGUUGAAGUUGUCGUAAAAGACAAUGGAGGACCGAAGCCACAUCCGUUGAAAAGGGUGGGCAUGAGGUGUGGAUAGGGGAGAAAUUCCAAUCGAACCCGGAGAUAGCUGGUUCUCCUCGAAAUAGCUUUAGGGCUAGCCUCGAUUUAGUCUUAUGGAGGUAGAGCACUGAAUUUCCGCGGGGGCGUCAAAGCUUACCAAAGAAUAUCAAACUCCGAAUGCCAUGUAGAUGAUGAACGGGAGUCAGACUGCACGAGAUAAGUUGGGCAGUCAAAAGGGAAAGAGCCCAGACCACCGGCUAAGGUCCCAAAGUGCGUGUUAAGUGGAAAAGGAUGUGGGAAUUCGAAGACAACUAGGAUGUUGGCUCAGAAGCAGCCAUACAUUCAAAGAGUGCGUAACAGCUCACUAGUCGAGAGUUCCUGCGCCGAAAAUGUCCGGGGCUAAAACACGACACCGAAGCUGUGGAAUCAUGCUUGCAUGAUUGGUAGAGGAGCAUUCGCUGAGAGACGAAGCUGUACCGAAAGGAGCAGUGGAUUUCAGUGAAGAGAGAAUGCCGGAAUGAGUAGCGAGAGAUAGGUGAGAAUCCUAUCGGCCGAAUAUCUAAGGUUUCCAGAGUAAAGCUGAUCUGCUCUGGGUAAGUCGGGGCCUAAGGCGAGGUCGAAAGACGUAGUCGAUGGAUAACAGGUUGAAAUUCCUGUACUAUCCUGUAACAGAACUGUGGGGACACAGGCAGAGAGCGUGAGCCGGGAAUGGAAAGACCGGUACAAGCGAGGUAGGAGAAGAGUUGGCAAAUCCGCUCUUUAAUCUGAAGACGUGAUGUGGACUGAAAAUAAGUAGGGAAGCACGUGAGCUGACUGUCAAGAAAAGCCGCUAUUGUUUGCAGGAUACCCGUACCGUAAACCGACACAGGUGGAUGAGGAGAGAAUCCUAAGGCCGACGGAAGAAGCAUUGUUAAGGAACUCGGCAAAAUGACCCCGUAACUUCGGGAGAAGGGGUGCUCCAGAGAUGGAGCCGCAGAGAACUGGCCCAAGCAACUGUUUAGCAAAAACACAGGUCUAUGCAAAACCGAAAGGUGAGGUAUAUGGGCUGACGCCUGCCCGGUGCUGGAAGGUUAAGGGGAGAGGUUAGCGCAAGCGAAGCUUUGAACUUAAGCCCCAGUAAACGGCGGCCGUAACUAUAACGGUCCUAAGGUAGCGAAAUUCCUUGUCGGGUAAGUUCCGACCCGCACGAAAGGCGUAAUGAUUUGGGCACUGUCUCAACAAUGCACCCGGUGAAAUUGAAAUACCAGUGAAGAUGCUGGUUACCUGCGCCAGGACGGAAAGACCCCAUGGAGCUUUACUCCAGCUUGAUACUGGGAUUCGGUAUUGCAUGUACAGGAUAGGUGGGAGGCUAGGAAAUGGUAACGCCAGUUGCCAUGGAGCCGCUGUUGGGAUACCACCCUUGCAGUACUGGGUUUCUAACCAGCAGCCGUGAUCCGGCUGGGGGACAAUGUCAGGUGGGGAGUUUGACUGGGGCGGUCGCCUCCGAAAGGGUAUCGGAGGCGCUCAAAGGUUCCCUCAGAAUGGUUGGAAACCAUUCGAAGAGU